GAUGAACGCUGGCGGCGUGCCUAAUACAUGCAAGUCGAGCGAACAGACGAGGAGCUUGCUCCUCUGACGUUAGCGGCGGACGGGUGAGUAACACGUGGAUAACCUACCUAUAAGACUGGGAUAACUUCGGGAAACCGGAGCUAAUACCGGAUAAUAUAUUGAACCGCAUGGUUCAAUAGUGAAAGACGGUUUUGCUGUCACUUAUAGAUGGAUCCGCGCCGCAUUAGCUAGUUGGUAAGGUAACGGCUUACCAAGGCGACGAUGCGUAGCCGACCUGAGAGGGUGAUAGGCCACACUGGAACUGAGACACGGUCAAGACUCCUACGGGAGGCAGCAGUAGGGAAUCUUCCGCAAUGGGCGAAAGCCUGACGGAGCAACGCCGCGUGAGUGAUGAAGGUCUUCGGAUCGUAAAACUCUGUUAUUAGGGAAGAACAAAUGUGUAAGUAACUAUGCACGUCUUGACGGUAACUAAUCAGAAAGCCACGGCUAACUACGUG
RNAcentral lists this ribosomal RNA (497 nucleotides) under uncultured bacterium. Its description in RNAcentral is "partial 16S ribosomal RNA". It matches the Rfam family "Bacterial small subunit ribosomal RNA", at positions 28 to 507 of the family's 1533-position model. The record is from RNAcentral.